Molecule: long non-coding RNA, 759 nt
Organism: Oxyura jamaicensis (ruddy duck)
Lineage: Eukaryota; Metazoa; Chordata; Aves; Anseriformes; Anatidae
Exons: 3
Source: RefSeq, a predicted model, not a curated record
GACCCUGGAAGGGACCAGCUCUCAGCUGGGAGGAAUCAAGGAUUGAAUAAUGGCAACUGGCCCAGGAGCAGGCAGGAGCAGGCAGCAGCUGUCGUGCAGGAUGAGCCCUGGUACCUGGGAGGCACAUGGAGGCACCACCUUGCUGUGUGGGGUGAGCGGGUGCUCGGAGCUCGAGUACGGUACAGGAAGAAGUAGGGGUGAUAGCAGGGUAAGAGCAGAAAACAUGCGGUUGCAGCUGUAUUUGAGCAGCAAGCACAGUUUCAGCUGCAGGAGCGAUGCUUGCUCAUUUUGAACUCUGCUGUCUCAGCCUUUGUGCUCAAGGUGUUUCCUCUCCUGGCCUCUCCUAUGAGGGCACUGUGAGCUUCAGUCUCCUCACUUGGCUCUGUGCAAUGCAAAUCCUGCGGGUCGCAUCAGGCCACUCUCAAGUUGUGCGUGGGAUGGGUGAGGUCAGGCCUCUGGCUGUGCUGUGGUACAAGGAACACAAAACGUGGGUUUCUGCAUGGACACCAGCCCAAACUGCCACACACUUGUCAGAGUUUGUCAUGUAUCUUACAAAUGCACGUGUUACACUCUCACCGUUGUGUGACUGCGUCCUGGAGCGAGCUGUGCACCCUGCCUGGGGCAAUGUCACUGAUUCUGGUUGAGCUGGCAGAGGAGAAGGGCAGCAGCACCAGUUGCCCUGGGAUGGAGCCCGUGAAAGAGCCAGGUUUUCCCUUCGGAAGCCCCCAGACCUCUCAUGGAGCACCACGGUGGGACCAG